RNAcentral lists this ribosomal RNA (546 nucleotides) under uncultured Bacillus sp. Its description in RNAcentral is "bacterial SSU rRNA". It matches the Rfam family "Bacterial small subunit ribosomal RNA", at positions 949 to 1533 of the family's 1533-position model. The record is from RNAcentral. Lineage: Bacteria; Bacillati; Bacillota; Bacilli; Caryophanales; Bacillaceae.
AUUCGAGCAACGCGAAGACCUUACCAGUCUGACAUCUCGACACCCUAGAGAUAGGCUCUCUUCGGGAGCAGAGUGACAGUGGGCAUGGUGUCGUCAGCUCGUGUCGUGAGAUGUGGGUAAGUCCCGCACGAGCGCAACCUGAUCUUAGUUGCCAUCAUUAAGUGGCACUCUAAGUGCUGCCGUGACAACCGGAGAAGUGGGAUGACGUCAAAUCAUCAUGCCCGUAUGACGUGGCUACACACGUGCUACAAUGGACGGUACAAAGAGCUGCAAGACCGCGAGGUGGAGCUAAUCUCAUAAAACCGUUCUCAGUUCGGAUUGUAGGCUGCAACUCGCCUACAUGAAGCUGGAAUCGCUAGUAAUCGCGGAUCAGCAUGCCGCGGUGAAUACGUUCCCGGGCCUUGUACACACCGCCCGUCACACCACGAGAGUUUGUAACACCCGAAGUCGGUGGGGUAACCUUUGGAGCCAGCCGCCUAAGGGGGACAGAGAUGGGGGAAGUGAAACAAGGUAACCUAAUCUAGAGCAUCGCGAGGUACCGAGCUC